RNAcentral lists this transfer RNA (67 nucleotides) under Marmota monax (woodchuck). RNAcentral describes it as "tRNA.Ala". Lineage: Eukaryota; Metazoa; Chordata; Mammalia; Rodentia; Sciuridae. The record is from RNAcentral.
GGUUGUAGCUCAGUGGUAGAGCGCUUGCCUAGCAUCUGGGAGGCACUGGUUUCAAUUCUCAGAACCA